GUCGAACGAUGACCCCCAGCUUGCUGGGGUGAUUAGUGGCGAACGGGUGAGUAACACGUGAGUAACCUGCCCCCGACUCUGGGAUAAGCCCGGGAAACUGGGUCUAAUACUGGAUAUGACCUUUGACCGCAUGGUUUUUGGUGGAAAGAUUUAUCGGUUGGGGAUGGACUCGCGGCCUAUCAGCUUGUUGGUGAGGUAAUGGCUCACCAAGGCGACGACGGGUAGCCGGCCUGAGAGGGUGACCGGCCACACUGGGACUGAGACACGGCCCAGACUCCUACGGGAGGCAGCAGUGGGGAAUAUUGCACAAUGGGCGAAAGCCUGAUGCAGCGACGCCGCGUGAGGGAUGACGGCCUUCGGGUUGUAAACCUCUUUCAGUAGGGAAGAAGCGAAAGUGACGGUACCUGCAGAAGAAGCGCCGGCUAACUACGUGCCAGCAGCCGCGGUAAUACGUAGGGCGCAAGCGUUAUCCGGAUUUAUUGGGCGUAAAGAGCUCGUAGGCGGUUUGUCGCGUCUGCCGUGAAAGUCCGAGGCUCAACCUCGGAUCUGCGGUGGGUACGGGCAGACUAGAGUGAUGU
This 578-nucleotide ribosomal RNA is filed under the name Arthrobacter sp. MYb224. RNAcentral's name for it is "bacterial SSU rRNA". It matches the Rfam family "Bacterial small subunit ribosomal RNA", at positions 61 to 652 of the family's 1533-position model. Lineage: Bacteria; Bacillati; Actinomycetota; Actinomycetes; Micrococcales; Micrococcaceae. The record is from RNAcentral.